GGGCCUCCAUGAUGUCCAGCACUGGGCUCUGAUCCCCACUGAGGACACAGUGUUCCCCAGGACUUUGACACUUGGCAGUCUGAAAGGCCC
Molecule: small nucleolar RNA, 90 nt
Filed under: Microcebus murinus (gray mouse lemur)
Lineage: Eukaryota; Metazoa; Chordata; Mammalia; Primates; Cheirogaleidae
Source: RNAcentral